UACAGAGGGGGCAAGCGUUAUUCGGAAUUAUUGGGCGUAAAGGGCGCGUAGGCGGCUUGGCAAGUGGAUGGUGAAAUCCCUCGGCUUAACCGAGGAACUGCCGUCCAAACUGCUUCGCUUGAGACCGGGAGAGGUGAGUGGAAUUCCCAGUGUAGCGGUGAAAUGCGUAGAUAUUGGGAGGAACACCAGUGGCGAAGGCGGCUCACUGGGCCGGUACUGACGCUGAUGCGCGAAAGCGUGGGGAGCAAACGGG
RNAcentral lists this ribosomal RNA (253 nucleotides) under uncultured bacterium. RNAcentral describes it as "partial 16S ribosomal RNA". It matches the Rfam family "Bacterial small subunit ribosomal RNA", at positions 524 to 776 of the family's 1533-position model. The record is from RNAcentral.